RNAcentral lists this ribosomal RNA (292 nucleotides) under uncultured Bacteroidota bacterium. RNAcentral describes it as "uncultured Bacteroidetes bacterium partial 16S ribosomal RNA". The record is from RNAcentral. Lineage: Bacteria; Pseudomonadati; Bacteroidota.
GGACUACAAGGGUAUCUAAUCCUGUUUGAUCCCCACGCUUUCGUGCCUCAGUGUCAAUCGAUCCGUAGUAAGCUGCCUUCGCAAUGGGUGUUCUAUGUCAUAUCUAAGCAUUUCACCGCUACAUGACAUAUUCCGCUUACCUCCAGAUAAUUCAAGACAGAUAGUAUCAAUGGCAGUUUCCGAGUUAAGCUCGAAGAUUUCACCACUGACUUACCUGCCCACCUACGCACCCUUUAAACCCAGUAAAUCCGGAUAACGCUUGCACCCUCCGUAUUACCGCGGCUGCUGGCAC